RNAcentral lists this ribosomal RNA (642 nucleotides) under uncultured bacterium. Its description in RNAcentral is "bacterial SSU rRNA". It matches the Rfam family "Bacterial small subunit ribosomal RNA", at positions 795 to 1458 of the family's 1533-position model. The record is from RNAcentral.
UNACGCNGUACAACGAUGCAUACUGGCNGUAUGGGGUAUCGACCCCCUGUGCGGCGAAGCUNACGCGUUAAGUAUGCCGCCUGGGAAGUACGGCCGCAAGGCUAAAACUCAAAGGAAUUGACGGGGACCCGCACAAGCGGAGGAUGAUGUGGUUUAAUUUGACGAUACGCGGAGAACCUUACCGAGGCUUGACAUCCUAGGAAUNUUCUAGAAACAGAAGAGUGCCUUCGGGAGCCUAGUGACAGGUGCUGCAUGGCCGUCGUCAGCUCGUGUCGUGAGAUGUUGGGUUAAGUCCCGCAACGAGCGCAACCCUUGUCGUAUGUUGUAUUUUUCAUACGAGACUGCCCGGGCCAACCGGGAGGAAGGUGGGGAUGACGUAAGGUCAGCAUGGCCCUUACGCCUCGGGCUACACACGUCAUACAAUGGCCAGCACAACGCGUCGCGAACCCGCGAGGGGGAGCUAAUCGCACCAAAACUGGUCUCAGUUCGGAUUGAAGGCUGCAACUCGCCUCCAUGAAGUCGGAUUCGCUAGUAAACGUGGGUCAGCAUACCACGUUGAAUAUGUACCCGGGUUCUUGUACACACCGCCCGUCACGNNACGGAAGUCGCCAACACCCGAAGUGACCUACUUUGCUGGGCCCU